This 400-nucleotide ribosomal RNA is filed under the name uncultured bacterium. RNAcentral's name for it is "bacterial SSU rRNA". It matches the Rfam family "Bacterial small subunit ribosomal RNA", at positions 355 to 774 of the family's 1533-position model. The record is from RNAcentral.
UUAGGAAUCUUCCACAAUGGGCGAAAGCCCGAUGGAGCGACGCCGCGUGAGGGAUGAAGGCCUUAGGGUUGUAAACCUCUAAAAGAGGGACGAUAAUGACGGUACCUCUUGAAUAGCACCGGCUAACUCCGUGCCAGCAGCCGCGGUAAUACGGAGGGUGCAAGCGUUAUCCGGAAUCACUGGGCGUAAAGGGCGCGUAGGCGGUCUGUUAAGUCCGAUGUUAAAUCCCGGGGCUCAACCCCGGAUAAGCGUUGGAUACUGGCAGGCUAGACGGUUGGAGAGGCGAGUGGAAUUACCAGUGUAGCGGUGGAAUGCGUAGAUACUGGUAGGAACACCCAUUGCGAAGGCAGCUCGCUGGACAACGCGUGACGCUGAGGCGCGAAAGUGUGGGGAGCAAACC